GUUCCUGACCCACCAAACAGCAGAAAGAUACAACAUUGCUGGUUUGAGCCGUUACAUUUAGGAGGGGACUUCUGUACAGCAACAGGCUGGAAUAAAACACAAGAUCCUUGGAAAGACCUCCCCACCAGGCCCUGCGUGACCCUGCCUCGCUGAUCUUCUGUCCUGUCUCUGGUCCAGCGACGCCGGCCCUUCCAGACCCAGAUUCCGGUUUUCCGUCUGACUCUUCCCUGCCCACUGGCCUCCCUUUGCGCCAAUCUGCCACUACUCCUGAUAUGACAGUGCUCCCAGGGUAUCUCCAAAUGCAGGAGCUCCCACCAGCUCAGCCCUUCCGAGAAAGGUUCAACAGAGUUACCGCAUGGAACCUGCAAUUCCACGCCUGGGAACGCAACCCAAGAGAGAUGGAAACCAAUGUCCACAGAAAACCUUGUACAAGGCUGUUCACACCAGCAUUAUUCAUAGAAGCCAGAGAGGAGGAACAACCCCAAUGUCCAUAUCCAAUGGCUGGAUAUGAAAAUGUGGUGUAUCUACACAGUGGAAUAUUAUUCGUCCAUAAAAAGGAGGGACGGAUUGAUCUCGACAUUAGCACAGAUGAACCUUGAACACAUCGUACUAAGUAAACAAAGCCAAAGGCAAGAUGGUGAUUCCACUCAUAUGAAAGGCCCCGAACAGGGGCGCCUGGGUGACUCAGUCGGUUGAGCAUCCGACUCUUGACUCCUGAAUUCACGGUUCGUGAGAUCGAGCCCCGUGACAGGUGUCGCAUGAAAUGUAUACUUUCA
Suricata suricatta (meerkat) is the source of this 776-nucleotide long non-coding RNA. RefSeq lists it as uncharacterized. The transcript has 3 exons. NCBI's taxonomy places the organism in Eukaryota, Metazoa, Chordata, Mammalia, Carnivora, Herpestidae. The record is from RefSeq and is a predicted model, not a curated record.